RNAcentral lists this transfer RNA (75 nucleotides) under bacterium. Its description in RNAcentral is "tRNA-Val". It matches the Rfam family "tRNA". From Rfam's summary of the family: Transfer RNA (tRNA) molecules are approximately 80 nucleotides in length. The record is from RNAcentral.
GCCUGGAUAGCUCAGGGGUAGAGCGUUUCCUUUACACGGAAAGGGUCCGCGGUUCGAAACCGUGUCCAGGUACCA